Molecule: ribosomal RNA, 1025 nt
Filed under: uncultured euryarchaeote
Lineage: Archaea; Methanobacteriati; Methanobacteriota
Description: bacterial SSU rRNA
Rfam family: Archaeal small subunit ribosomal RNA
Source: RNAcentral
ACGAACCCAGGCCCUACGGGGCGCAGCAGGCGCGAAACCUUCGCACUGCGCGAAAGCGCGACGAGGGGGGCCCGAGUGCCUCUCCAUUUCGGGGAGGCUUUUCACAAGCCUAAAAAGCUUGUGGAAUAAGGGCUGGGCAAGACGGGUGCCAGCCGCCGCGGUAAUACCCGCAGCUCGAGUGGUGGUCGCUUUUAUUGAGCCUAAAACGUUCGUAGUCGGCCUUGUAAAUCCCUGGGUAAAUUGGGCCGCUUAACGGUUCAAAUUCCGGGAGACUGCAAGGCUAGGGACCCGGCGAGGUCAGAGGUACUUUCGGGGUAGGGGUGAAAUCCUGUAUCCCGAAGGGACCACCUGUGGCGAAAGCGUCUGACUUGAACGGCCCCAACGAUGAGGAACGAAGGCUAGGGGAGCAAACCGGAUUAGAUCCCCGGGUAGUCCUAGCUGUAAACUCUGCCCGCUUGGUGUGGCCUGUCCUUCGGGGGCAGGCCGUGCCGGAGCGAAGGUGUUAAGCGGGCUGCUUGGGGAGUACGGCCGCAAGGUUGAAACUUAAAGGAAUUGGCGGGGGAGCACCGCAACGGGAGGAUGCGUGCGGUUUAAUUGGAUUCAACGCCGGAAAACUCACCUGAGGAGACCAGCGUAUGUGGGUCAAGCCGAAGACUUUACCCGACAGCUGGAGAGGUGGUGCAUGGCCAUCGUCAGCUCGUACCGUAGGGCAUUCACUUAAGUGUGAUAACGUGCGAGACCCCCAUCCCUAGUUGCUAACCCCUCCGAAAGGAGGGGUGCACUCUAGGGAGACCGCUUCCGCUAAGGAAGAGGAAGGAGGGGUCGACGGUAGGUCAGUAUGCCCCGAAUCCUCAGGGCAACACGCGCGCUACAAAGGACAGGACAAUGGGUUCCAACCCCGAAAGGGGAAGGUAAUCCCGAAACCUGUUCGUAGUCCGGAUUGAGGGCUAUAACUCGCCCUCAUGAAGGUGGAUUCCGUAGUAAUCGCGGAUCAACAGUCCGCGGUGAAUAUGCCCCUGCUCCUU